This is a small nuclear RNA of Trichosurus vulpecula (common brushtail), 106 nucleotides long. NCBI's taxonomy places the organism in Eukaryota, Metazoa, Chordata, Mammalia, Diprotodontia, Phalangeridae. The record is from RefSeq and is a predicted model, not a curated record.
GUGCUUGCUUCCGCAGCACAUUUACUAAAAUUGGAACGAUACAGAGAAGAUUAGCAGGCCCCUGGGCAAGGAUAACACACAAAUUCAUGAAGCAUUCCAUGUUAAA